UACGUAGGGGGCUAGCGUUGCUCGGAAUGACUGGGCGUAAAGGGCGCGUAGGCGGUUUGUACAGUCAGGUGUGAAAUUCCCGGGCUCAACCUGGGGGCUGCACUUGAUACGUAGGAACUGGAGUGGGGAAGAGGGUCGUGGAAUUCCCAGUGUAGAGGUGAAAUUCGUAGAUAUUGGGAAGAACACCGGUGGCGAAGGCGGCGACCUGGUCCUUGACUGACGCUGAGGCGCGAAAGCUAGGGGUGUAAACAGG
Molecule: ribosomal RNA, 253 nt
Filed under: uncultured bacterium
Lineage: Bacteria
Description: partial 16S ribosomal RNA
Rfam family: Bacterial small subunit ribosomal RNA
Source: RNAcentral